This 1247-nucleotide long non-coding RNA is filed under the name Serinus canaria (Common canary). RNAcentral describes it as "lncRNA (ENSSCAG00000013969.1)". The record is from RNAcentral. Lineage: Eukaryota; Metazoa; Chordata; Aves; Passeriformes; Fringillidae.
GUUUAAGCCUGGCACAAUACCAGUGCCCCCAUGAGAACACCUACUUCCCUGGCACCUACUGUGAGAUAUGAUCAGAGACAGAGCAAAGCAGGCUCCAACUUAAGGUUAAAAGGAAAAAAAAAGCAUUUAUUAACCUACAACUACAAAGAAAGACUACACAAAACACAAUAGAACAUAAGAUGAAAACCUUCCAAAAUUCUUCCUCCUCCCCCCACCAAAUUUCCAAUUUCAUUGCCACCCUUCACACAGUCGAUUCUCAGUCUCUUGAGGAGAGAGAAGUCCCUCUUGCGCCACACGCCUUCCAUGUCCAGUGCUCUCACCACUGCACAUGGAUCAGAGCUGCUUCUAGGGUUUUCCAUUUUAAGGAUACUUUGACCAGUUCCAAAGGGAUCGUCUUCUUCUUCUCUUCUUCGAAGUGGAGGGCACCACCACACCCUCCUCACCCGUCGUCUCUGUUCACUCCUCCACAUCACUGCACUCUCUUGGCUCUGAGCCAUCGCCUCCCCCUAGAACGCAGUCUCUGUGGCACAGAAACACCCGUGGUUCUGCUGUGGCUACACAAGAAAAGUCCAGCCCAAAGCCACUUCAUCAUCUCCUCCCACCUAGAAUUUUCUCAACAUCUUCUCAAUCUCAACAGCUUCUCAAUCUCAUCAACUUCAGGAGGACUCAGCUUUUGCAAGGUUCUCAUCUUCCUCAAAGGGGUUAAAAGUCCCGAGCUCUCUCUCUCUGCCGGUUUACUUCGUCAACUCCCACGCCUGUCUGCCCUGCUGGGCAACCCCCCCCUUCUCCUUCACGCCGGGCCACUAUCACAGCCACCACAGGCACCGGCUCUGUCUCUCUCUCCCUCGCAAGGGGGGGGUGGGGGAAUGGAGGACGGCUGCCCGAAGCCCUUGCAAUGUUCUCCUCCACCCUUGGGCCCAGGCCUGUCCUACCUCUCUCUGGCCACAUGGCUCCCCUCCCCCCCUGCCCAGCCAAAGGAGCUGGGCAGGGGGGUCUACUCACUCUCCAGCGGGACUCCAAGAGGAAGUUCCCCUGGGAGAUCACAGCUUUUAACCCCUGUGUUCUCAGAGGCGUAUCCUGCCCUCAGUGGACAAACCAGGUGCCAAUAUUAAAUCUGAACACUGAUUGGAUUGCCCACACCAUCACAAAAAACUUCAUUUCCUUUCAAACCACGACAACUGCUCACACCAAAAGUGAAUCACAAGUCACGUGUGAUAUUCUUUUUAAUGAAGCAAGCACAUGACACU